GACGAACGCUGGCGGCGUGCUUAACACAUGCAAGUCGAACGCGCCUGUCCUCUGGGUUUCUGGGGGGUGGGUGAGUGGCGACCGGGUGAGUAACACGUGAGUAACCUGCCCCCUUCUUCGGGAUAACGGUCUGAAAGGGCUGCUAAUACCGGGUAUUCACUGGUCUCCGCAUGGGGUCUGGUGGAAAGGUUUUUUUCUGGUGGGGGAUGGGCUCGCGGCCUAUCAGCUUGUUGGUGGGGUGAUGGCCCACCAAGGCUUUGACGGGUAGCCGGCCUGAGAGGGUGACCGGUCACAGUGGGACUGAGAUACGGCCCAGACUCCGACGGGAGGCAGCAGUGGGGAAUAUUGCGCAAUGGGCGCAAGCCUGAUGCAGCGACGCCGCGUGAGGGAUGGAGGCCUUCGGGUUGUGAACCUCUUUCGCCCGUGGUCAAGCCGCGACGUGGGUCGUGGUGAGGGUAGUGGGUAAAGAAGCGCCGGCUAACUACGUG
This 488-nucleotide ribosomal RNA is filed under the name uncultured bacterium. RNAcentral's name for it is "partial 16S ribosomal RNA". It matches the Rfam family "Bacterial small subunit ribosomal RNA", at positions 28 to 507 of the family's 1533-position model. The record is from RNAcentral.